CAGCAGCCACGGUAAAACGUAGGUGGCAAGCGUUGUCCGGAAUUAUUGGGCGUAAAGGGCUCGCAGGCGGUUUCUUAAGUCUGAUGUGAAAGCCCCCGGCUCAACCGGGGAGGGUCAUUGGAAACUGGGAAACUUGAGUGCAGAAGAGGAGAGUGGAAUUCCACGUGUAGCGGUGAAGUGCGUAGAGAUGUGGAGGAACACCAGUGGCGAAGGCGACUCUCUGGUCUGUAACUGACGCUGAGGAGCGAAAGCGUGGGGAGCGAACAGGAUUAGAUACCCCAGUAGUCCCUGUCUCUUAUAC
Molecule: ribosomal RNA, 301 nt
Filed under: uncultured bacterium
Lineage: Bacteria
Description: partial 16S ribosomal RNA
Rfam family: Bacterial small subunit ribosomal RNA
Source: RNAcentral